Molecule: ribosomal RNA, 460 nt
Filed under: uncultured bacterium
Lineage: Bacteria
Description: partial 16S ribosomal RNA
Rfam family: Bacterial small subunit ribosomal RNA
Source: RNAcentral
CCUACGGGUGGCAGCAGUGAGGAAUAUUGGUCAAUGGACGAGAGUCUGAACCAGCCAAGUAGCGUGAAGGAUGACUGCCCUAUGGGUUGUAAACUUCUUUUAUAAAGGAAUAAAACGAGGCACGUGUGCCUUUUUGCAUGUACUUUAUGAAUAAGGAUCGGCUAACUCCGUGCCAGCAGCCGCGGUAAUACGGAGGAUCCGCGCGUUAUCCGGCUUUAUUGGGUUUAAAGGGAGCGUAGAUGGGUUGUUAAGUCAGUUGUGAAAGUUUGCGGCUCAACCGUAAAAUUGCAAUUGAUACUGGCAGUCGUGAGUACAGUUGAGGUAGGCGGAAUUCGUGGUGUAGCGGUGAAAUGCUUAGAUAUCACGAAGAACCCCGAUUGCGAAGGCAGCUUACUAAACUGUGACUGACAUUGAUGCUCGAAAGUGUGGGUAUCAAACAGGAUUAGAUACCCGUGUAGUC